UACAGAGGGUGCAAGCGUUGUUCGGAAUUACUGGGCGUAAAGCGUGCGCAGGCGGCUUUGCAAGACAGAUGUGAAAUCCCCGGGCUCAACCUGGGAACUGCAUUUGUGACUGCAAGGCUAGAGUACGGUAGAGGGGGAUGGAAUUCCGCGUGUAGCAGUGAAAUGCGUAGAUAUGCGGAGGAACACCGAUGGCGAAGGCAAUCCCCUGGACCUGUACUGACGCUCAUGCACGAAAGCGUGGGGAGCAAAC
RNAcentral lists this ribosomal RNA (250 nucleotides) under uncultured bacterium. RNAcentral describes it as "partial 16S ribosomal RNA". It matches the Rfam family "Bacterial small subunit ribosomal RNA", at positions 524 to 773 of the family's 1533-position model. The record is from RNAcentral.